CCAAAGUGAGCUCAGUACAGAAGAAAUUGUCAGACGAGGACUCCACGAAGACACCGGAGAUUACUGAAGUUCACUCCAGGCAGA
This is a long non-coding RNA of Etheostoma spectabile (orangethroat darter), 84 nucleotides long. RefSeq lists it as uncharacterized. The record is from RefSeq and is a predicted model, not a curated record. The transcript is spliced from 3 exons. Lineage: Eukaryota; Metazoa; Chordata; Actinopteri; Perciformes; Percidae.